Long non-coding RNA from Stegodyphus dumicola, 399 nucleotides. Lineage: Eukaryota; Metazoa; Arthropoda; Arachnida; Araneae; Eresidae. The record is from RefSeq and is a predicted model, not a curated record.
CCCGUUCGCCGGGAUUCGGAUUCCGGACCGAACUACCAGUUUUUAGCGACUUGACAACUCGGACGCUGGUGGGCUUAGGUACCUGCUGGGACUCGAAAUAUAGUUCUUCUAGUUGCUACCUGGACUGCUGACUAAAGAGAGCUCGCACGCAGGAAUGCGAUCUGCUCGGGAACGCGGCCUAAAAGGUAGAACUGAUGGGUUACGUUUGAAAGGACUGAGUUACAAACUUUAAGAAGUGUCAUCAUUCGCGCUGACGAAGGAUCGGUGUAGCGACGCUAGUACUUUUACUUAAAGAAACUACAGGUGAUCUGGAACCAGUGUAUGUUGACGGCAACUCUUUCAAGCAAACAUCUUUUAUGUGUAACCCGUGCAACUUAUACUUUUCAACUGGGAAAAAUU